This 47-nucleotide long non-coding RNA is filed under the name Patiria miniata (bat star). RNAcentral describes it as "uncharacterized LOC119732704". Lineage: Eukaryota; Metazoa; Echinodermata; Asteroidea; Valvatida; Asterinidae. The record is from RNAcentral.
UGUCUCAAAUCUUAUAUCUAGAGUAACAUGUAAGUUGCAUAAAAAAA